UAAGGUGACAUAGUUGAUAACCCGCCCUUAAGWGGGGGGGGACAKUKGGAAACAGAUGMUAAUACCGCAUAGAGACAAGAACCGCAUGGUUYUUGGYUGAAAGAKRGCGUAAGCUAUCGMUUUKGGAWGGACCCGCGGCGUAUUAGCUAGUUGGUGAGGUAAWGGCUCACCAAGGCGAUGAUACGUAGCCGAACUGAGAGGUUGAUCGGCCACAUUGGGAMUGAGACACGGCCCAAACUCCUACGGGAGGCAGCAGUAGGGAAUYUUCCMCAAUGGACGCAAGUCUGAUGGAGCAACGCCGCGUGAGUGAAGAAGGCUUUCGGGUCGUAAAACUCUGUUGUUGGAGAAGAAUGGUCGGCAGAGUAACUGUUGYCGGCGUGACGGUAUCCAACCAGAAAGCCACGGCUAACUACGUGCCAGCAGCCGCGGUAAUACGUAGGUGGCAAGCGUUAUCCGGAUUUAUUGGGCGUAAAGCGAGCGCAGGCGGUUUUUUAAGUCUGAUGUGAAAGCCCUCGGCUUAACCGAGGAAGCGCAUCGGAAACUGGGAAACUUGAGUGCAGAAGAGGACAGUGGAACUCCAUGUGUAGCGGUGAAAUGCGUAGAUAUAUGGAAGAACACCAGUGGCGAAGGCGGCUGUCGGUCUGUAACKACGCKAGGYCGAAAGCAKGKKG
RNAcentral lists this ribosomal RNA (671 nucleotides) under bacterium. Its description in RNAcentral is "partial 16S ribosomal RNA". The record is from RNAcentral.